GAAAAGCUAGUUUAAGCAAAACAAUCGAUUUCGACUCAAUUAAUUAUGGUUUAACCCCAUAGCUUCUCC
RNAcentral lists this transfer RNA (69 nucleotides) under Oreophryne sp. TNHC-GDC 18615. RNAcentral's name for it is "tRNA-Arg". It matches the Rfam family "tRNA". Rfam says of the family: Transfer RNA (tRNA) molecules are approximately 80 nucleotides in length. Their secondary structure includes four short double-helical elements and three loops (D, anti-codon, and T loops). Lineage: Eukaryota; Metazoa; Chordata; Amphibia; Anura; Microhylidae. The record is from RNAcentral.